RNAcentral lists this ribosomal RNA (507 nucleotides) under uncultured Pirellula sp. Its description in RNAcentral is "partial 16S ribosomal RNA". It matches the Rfam family "Bacterial small subunit ribosomal RNA", at positions 1 to 526 of the family's 1533-position model. The record is from RNAcentral. Lineage: Bacteria; Pseudomonadati; Planctomycetota; Planctomycetia; Pirellulales; Pirellulaceae.
UAGAGUUUGAUCCUGGCUCAGAAUGAACGUUGGCGGCGUGGAUUAGGCAUGCAAGUCGCGCGAUAAAAGUAGCAAUACUUGGACAGCGGCGAAAGGGAGAGUAAUACAUAGGUACGUACCCUUGGGACUGGGAUAGCGGCGGGAAACUGCCGGUAAUACCAGAUGACGUUUCCGAACCAAAGGUGUGAAUCCGCCUGAGGAGCGGCCUAUGUCCUAUUAGCUUGUUGGCGAGGUAACGGCUCACCAAGGCAAAGAUGGGUAUGGGGUGUGAGAGCAUGCCCCCACUCACUGGGACUGAGACACUGCCCAGACACCUACGGGUGGCUGCAGUCGAGAAUCUUCGGCAAUGGACGCAAGUYYKRMCSRRGSRACGCCGCGUGCGGGAUGAAGGCCUUCGGGUUGUAAACCGCUGUCGUAGAGGAGGARAUUCUGAUGGGUACUCCCAUCAGAUUGACUGAUUCUAGGAGGAAGGACCGGCUAAUCUCGUGCCWGCCGCCGCGGKAAUUC